Long non-coding RNA from Cebus imitator (Panamanian white-faced capuchin), 1454 nucleotides. RefSeq lists it as uncharacterized. Lineage: Eukaryota; Metazoa; Chordata; Mammalia; Primates; Cebidae. The record is from RefSeq and is a predicted model, not a curated record. The transcript is spliced from 5 exons.
AUCUGCAGGCCUAGCUCCUAGUUUAGACAGAGAGCUCAUUCAUCCAUGGUGACGCUGUUGGGUGUGAUUUGCCAGUCACUGAGAUGCCCUUGUUUUUUUUUUUUUUUCUUGCAGAACCAUCUGCAGUUGGUGAAAAAUAACCCACUACAGCUAGUGAACAUUUCCCACCUUUUAUCCUCUGGCUUCAUAGGGCUGUGACAGACGGUGCCCCAGCAGGUACUAUGCAGCUCAACUGCCAAAGGUGUUGCUGUUCAGAAGUCCUAGAGACGGUGAUCUGCCCCAGCAAACAGACUUCUGCAGAACAAGCUGCUGUACCUAGGAACCAACCAACUCUUCUCAGGUAGGUGUGUCUAACUAAAAUAAAACCACCGAGGAAACUGCCUUGAUACUAAACUUCCCUAAACCAGGUCUCAGCAGAAGAAAAAAGCAUCCCUCCAACCUCAUUUCUCCUUUCGGAGGCUAGCAGGAAAUUAAAAAAGGAAAGGAGUUCCAUGCAGUAUUUCUGACAGCAAAUUUCUCAGAAUCCAGAGAUACUUCUUUUCUCUGUAAUAAGUAGCUGCAGAUACAAAGGAGCACUUAUGAUCGAUGACUAUCUCUGUUUGCAGGAGCGAUAAUUCCUGAACACACAGUUCUCGAUUAAAAUACAAAUGCAUUUUCAACUGCAUAUUUAUUUAUCUAUGUUUUAGUCUUACUUGACAAAAUGUGAAAAGAAUCCAGUAAAGUUGGGCUCUAGUAUACUGCAGAAGUGAAACUGAAGUAAGGAGAUUUUUAAAUGGGGAGGGAAUAUCCAUUUCUAUCUCUGGGUCCCUGAGUUCUCAUGUAGGAGUAGGUAAUUUGAAUUGGGCUUUUGUUACUUGCAAUAGGGAGAAUCCUGAAUAUUCCCUGAGGCUUAUAGAAUUGCAGAAUAUGAGCUAAAAGUUGUUUAUGUAGACCAGUAUGAAAAAGAUAAUAAAAUGCAGGACAAAGAUCUAUAGAUUUUGAAAGGUUCCAAAAUGCAGGACCCUUUUCUUGCACUGAGUGUGGCAGUGCUCUUUGGAGCCACAGCAUAUGAGAAUUGUGAAAUUACAGGUUCAACUGGCUGUGAGAAGAGAAUGCACAAAGGAUUAAGAAGCAAUGGUAAAGCAAGGAUGCAGGAUCAAAUAUGGCCAAAUAGCAAUAUUUUUAAAACUAUCUAUUAAUUUUUGAGUGUAGGUGUUUUUAAAACAUGUAAUCAAAUUAAGCAUAACUGUAAAAAAGUGUUGAAAGAAAUUCAGUGUUUAGUUUCAUUAGAUAUAAGGUAUUUAUUAAUGGUACUAUACAUUUCUAACUGCAUGGAUUUUAAAAAAUCAGUCUUAAAAUGAACAGAAUGUAUUUAUUUGGCAUCCAUACUGCUGUGAAUAGCUGUAACAUGUGUUUAAUGUUUGUUCUAUGCAAUUCCCUUACAUGUCACAAUAAAAAGACCUUUUUGAAAAAUC